GACGAACGCUGGCGGCGUGCUUAACACAUGCAAGUCGAACGAUGAUGCCCAGCUUGCUGGGUGGAUUAGUGGCGAACGGGUGAGUAACACGUGAGUAACCUGCCCCUGACUCUGGGAUAAGCGUUGGAAACGACGUCUAAUACUGGAUAUGAUCACUGGCCGCAUGGUCUGGUGGUGGAAAGAUUUUUUGGUUGGGGAUGGACUCGCGGCCUAUCAGCUUGUUGGUGAGGUAAUGGCUCACCAAGGCGACGACGGGUAGCCGGCCUGAGAGGGUGACCGGCCACACUGGGACUGAGACACGGCCCAGACUCCUACGGGAGGCAGCAGUGGGGAAUAUUGCACAAUGGGCGAAAGCCUGAUGCAGCAACGCCGCGUGAGGGAUGACGGCCUUCGGGUUGUAAACCUCUUUUAGUAGGGAAGAAGCGAAAGUGACGGUACCUGCAGAAAAAGCACCGGCUAACUACGUGCCAGCAGCCGCGGUGAUACGUAGGGUGCAAGCGUUGUCCGGAAUUAUUGGGCGUAAAGAGCUCGUAGGCGGUUUGACGCGUCUGCUGUGAAAUCCCGAGGCUCAACCUCGGGCUUGCAGUGGGUACGGGCAGACUAGAGUGCGGUAGGGGAGAUUGGAAUUCCUGGUGUAGCGGUGGAAUGCGCAGAUAUCAGGAGGAACACCGAUGGCGAAGGCAGAUCUCUGGGCCGUAACUGACGCUGAGGAGCGAAAGCAUGGGGAGCAAACAGGAUUAGAUACCCUGGUAGUCCAUGCCGUAAACGUUGGGCGCUAGAUGUAGGGACCUUUCCACGGUUUCUGUGUCGUAGCUAACGCAUUAAGCGCCCCGCCUGGGGAGUACGGCCGCAAGGCUAAAACUCAAAGGAAUUGACGGGGGCCCGCACAAGCGGCGGAGCAUGCGGAUUAAUUCGAUGCAACGCGAAGAACCUUACCAAGGCUUGACAUACACCGGAAACGGCCAGAGAUGGUCGCCCCCUUGUGGUCGGUGUACAGGUGGUGCAUGGUUGUCGUCAGCUCGUGUCGUGAGAUGUUGGGUUAAGUCCCGCAACGAGCGCAACCCUCGUUCUAUGUUGCCAGCGGGUUAUGCCGGGGACUCAUAGGAGACUGCCGGGGUCAACUCGGAGGAAGGUGGGGAUGACGUCAAAUCAUCAUGCCCCUUAUGUCUUGGGCUUCACGCAUGCUACAAUGGCCGGUACAAAGGGCUGCGAUACCGUAAGGUGGAGCGAAUCCCAAAAAGCCGGUCUCAGUUCGGAUUGAGGUCUGCAACUCGACCUCAUGAAGUCGGAGUCGCUAGUAAUCGCAGAUCAGCAACGCUGCGGUGAAUACGUUCCCGGGCCU
This 1342-nucleotide ribosomal RNA is filed under the name uncultured bacterium. RNAcentral describes it as "bacterial SSU rRNA". It matches the Rfam family "Bacterial small subunit ribosomal RNA", at positions 28 to 1381 of the family's 1533-position model. The record is from RNAcentral.